CCACCACAGCCCACCAAACUUCUCCAUCCAUGAGCCCCGUGGACCUGUGGCCAAGAAGAUGGGGGCAAGCUCCCAAUUUGGCUGGGCUGGGUGUGGGUGUGAAUCUUUUCCUGUCUGGUGUGUGCUGGGCUGACAAAGACUCUUUGCUCCCUCGGGGUGGGGUGUGGUUUUUGGCCGAAGGUGACACGGUUUGGGAGCCCUGCGGAUGCGAUGGGGUGUCUGCAAUGGGGAGUGGGAAGGAGAAGAGCAAUAUGAAGAUGGCGUCUAAGACGAGGCCAGGUGACUUCUGUGGAGGGAGACAUGCUGGACAAUGCCAAGGAUUGGGGAGACAACCAGGUGUGAGCCCAGGGCGCAGAGAGCUGGGGAGGGUGUCUGUGUCUGUAACACUUCCCUGUCCUCUCUCACAGAUGGAGUCCAAGAGGGAUAGGAAGGAGAGGACGAGAGCCCCAGUACUCAAGAAUAAUAAGAUGAAUCUCCCAGGAGCCCCAGGCAGAGGAGAAGCUGGAAGAAGUGGAGCUGAGCAGCCUGGACAUCCCGGUAAGCAGAGACGAACAGUCCUGAACCUUCUGCCUUUCCCAGCACUGGGUGUGAGUCGGCGGUGACGGCACUCUCUUCCUCAGCUCUUCCCAGGGGAAAGUAGUCGUGAGGACGGAGUCCAGCCCCGAGGUGAGAUGGAAAGUGAGCGAGAGCAGUGACAGCGUGAAUCCUGUUGAUGCCAGGCAAGGUCUGUCCAGCUGGGAGCGAAGCAGCUGUCGCUGUCAGUGAGGAAAAGAAGGAGGAGGCUGCAGGAUGGUGAAGGAGAGAAAAUCAACACUGCAGCAGGAGAAGGUAAAGACCAGGAGAAUCCAGAAGCCAAGUCCCCAGAGAGGCACAGGGGACCUC
Molecule: long non-coding RNA, 882 nt
Organism: Dermochelys coriacea (leatherback sea turtle)
Lineage: Eukaryota; Metazoa; Chordata; Testudines; Dermochelyidae
Exons: 4
Source: RefSeq, a predicted model, not a curated record